This 69-nucleotide antisense RNA is filed under the name Micromonospora matsumotoense. RNAcentral describes it as "ASpks TB sRNA". It matches the Rfam family "ASpks TB sRNA". The record is from RNAcentral. Lineage: Bacteria; Bacillati; Actinomycetota; Actinomycetes; Micromonosporales; Micromonosporaceae.
CUUCACCGAACCCAGCCAGAGCGGCUGCUCCCGCUCCCGGCCGUAGGUGGCGAGGAUCGCCUGGGCCUC